Molecule: unclassified non-coding RNA, 262 nt
Filed under: uncultured Ascomycota
Lineage: Eukaryota; Fungi; Ascomycota
Description: sequence contains 5.8S rRNA gene
Rfam family: 5.8S ribosomal RNA (bases 1-53)
Source: RNAcentral
GAACGCACAUUGCGCCCAGUGGUAUUCCGCUGGGCAUGCCUGUUCGAGCGUCUUUAAAACACACGCCUUUGCGUGGUAUUGGGAGCUGCGGUUCGCUGCAGCCCCUAAAAAUCAAUAGCGAUACCCACUGGUCCUACGCGUAGUACAAUACCCCGCUUAAGGAACGUGGCUCUUUCAGCCCUAAAAUUAGGAGUCUCGGGUAACCGGACGCCUAGUACGUAGUUUGACCUCGAAUCAAGUAGGGAUACCCGCUGAACUUAAG